GGCUUCGUAGCUCAGCUGGUACAGAGCUUGCCGUGCUGAGGCAUGCUGUUGUUGUCGCUGGUUCGAAUCCAGCCAAAGCUC
This 81-nucleotide transfer RNA is filed under the name Paragonimus heterotremus. It matches the Rfam family "tRNA". Rfam says of the family: Transfer RNA (tRNA) molecules are approximately 80 nucleotides in length. Their secondary structure includes four short double-helical elements and three loops (D, anti-codon, and T loops). The record is from Rfam by way of RNAcentral. Lineage: Eukaryota; Metazoa; Platyhelminthes; Trematoda; Plagiorchiida; Troglotrematidae.